Penaeus vannamei (Pacific white shrimp) is the source of this 534-nucleotide non-coding RNA. NCBI's taxonomy places the organism in Eukaryota, Metazoa, Arthropoda, Malacostraca, Decapoda, Penaeidae. The record is from RefSeq and is a predicted model, not a curated record.
CAGGCAGCGGUGCCGGGCGUACGCGUGUGUGAGUAGGCUCUGUGUCUUUCGGUGCCAGGCACUCUCCGAGCUUGUGUGUGAAAACGUGUGAACUGAACAAUCUACACUACAACAAGAACAGUAUCAUUACCACUGGAUAAUUCGUGAGAGAAAGGAAUAGCAAUAAUAAAUCUUUAUAUAUUGAUAUAAAACAAUGCGGUGAAUACAAAGAAAGACGUAAAAAGAAAUUACAGAUUUGUGGGAAAAAAAAAGAAAGAAUUUUCCGUGUCCCUUCAGCCAGUGAACAGAAGACAACAGCCGGAAAAAAUGAAAAAUCCGGUCAGAUACGGAUAACUGAAUACGAGGUUCCGAUGCAACGAACGAGUGACCGUGACAUGACCAAUAAUAAAUGAACAGUGGCCAAAGGGAAAAGAAAUAGAUAAUAGAUAUAUAUGUAUACAUUGUUGGUGGUGGAAUGGACCGCUGGAUAUUCCUCAAGAGAAUGAUGGUCAAGCCUUCUUGAAAGACGAAGCGAGAAGAUAAAACACACUUAAG